GUGAGGGGGAGACCUAGGCAUGGCAGGGGGAGCUGCAGGGCCAUUGGAGGGGCCCCAGUGUCUGAGCCCUGUCCUCUUGCAGG
RNAcentral lists this microRNA precursor (83 nucleotides) under Chlorocebus sabaeus (green monkey). RNAcentral describes it as "miRNA (ENSCSAG00000026260.1)". The record is from RNAcentral. Lineage: Eukaryota; Metazoa; Chordata; Mammalia; Primates; Cercopithecidae.